UGGAUGUGAUGAGAAAAUUCUUGGUCCGUGUUACUGAUGUCGAAUGAUCGUACUUAACUAUAUUUUCUGAUCCA
This is a small nucleolar RNA of Adelges cooleyi (spruce gall adelgid), 74 nucleotides long. RefSeq annotates it as small nucleolar RNA SNORD18. Lineage: Eukaryota; Metazoa; Arthropoda; Insecta; Hemiptera; Adelgidae. The record is from RefSeq and is a predicted model, not a curated record. The transcript has a single exon.